UUGCCAGCAGCCGCGGUAAUACCGGCAGCUCAAGUGAUGUCCCAUAUUAUUGGGCCUAAAGCGUCCGUAGCUGGCCGACCAAGUCUCCCGGGAAAUCCACCCGCUCAACGGGUGGGCGUCCGGUAGAAACUGGCCGGCUUGGAACCGGAAGGCUCAGAGAGUACGUCCGGGGUAGGAGUGAAAUCCCGUAAUCCCGGACGGACUACCGAUGGCGAAAGCACUCUGAGAAGACGGCUUCGACAGUGAGGGACGAAAGCGCGGGUCUCAAACCGGAUUAGAAACCCCAGUAUCC
This 292-nucleotide ribosomal RNA is filed under the name uncultured bacterium. RNAcentral describes it as "partial 16S ribosomal RNA". It matches the Rfam family "Archaeal small subunit ribosomal RNA", at positions 455 to 746 of the family's 1478-position model. The record is from RNAcentral.